GGAUCCCAGGGUCAGUGUACUCAGGUACGCGUUGAGUUCCUGGAUGAGUCCCACCGUUCUAUUAUCCGCAAUGUGAAGGGUCCCGUACGUGAAGGCGACAUCCUCACACUGUUGGAGUCUGAGCGUGAAGCCAGGAGAUUAAGAUAAUGCGGCAAAAGGCUCUGUUCUUCCUUAAACUUGAAAUAAAAAGUUAAGGAAAA
This is a long non-coding RNA of Penaeus indicus, 200 nucleotides long. RefSeq lists it as uncharacterized. The record is from RefSeq and is a predicted model, not a curated record. NCBI's taxonomy places the organism in Eukaryota, Metazoa, Arthropoda, Malacostraca, Decapoda, Penaeidae. The transcript has 2 exons.